AGUGAACGCUGGCGGUAGGCCUAACACAUGCAAGUCGAACGGCAGCACAGUAAGAGCUUGCUCUUACGGGUGGCGAGUGGCGGACGGGUGAGGAAUACAUCGGAAUCUACUUUUUCGUGGGGGAGAACGUAGGGAAACUUACGCUAAUACCGCAUACGACCUACGGGUGAAAGCAUGGGAUCUUCGGACCUUGCGCGAUUGAAUGAGCCGAUGUCGGAUUAGCGAGUUGGCGGGGUAAAGGCCCACCAAGGCGACGAUCCGUAGCUGGUCUGAGAGGAUGAUCAGCCACACUGGAACUGAGACACGGUCCAGACUCCUACGGGAGGCAGCAGUGGGGAAUAUUGGACAAUGGGCGCAAGCCUGAUCCAGCCAUACCGCGUGGGUGAAGAAGGCCUUCGGGUUGUAAAGCCCUUUUGUUGGGAAAGAAAAGCAGCAGGUUAAUACCCCGCUGUUCUGACGGUACCCAAAGAAUAAGCACCGGCUAACUUCGUG
This 492-nucleotide ribosomal RNA is filed under the name uncultured bacterium. Its description in RNAcentral is "partial 16S ribosomal RNA". It matches the Rfam family "Bacterial small subunit ribosomal RNA", at positions 29 to 507 of the family's 1533-position model. The record is from RNAcentral.